RNAcentral lists this ribosomal RNA (446 nucleotides) under Escherichia coli. RNAcentral's name for it is "bacterial SSU rRNA". It matches the Rfam family "Bacterial small subunit ribosomal RNA", at positions 199 to 640 of the family's 1533-position model. Lineage: Bacteria; Pseudomonadati; Pseudomonadota; Gammaproteobacteria; Enterobacterales; Enterobacteriaceae. The record is from RNAcentral.
ACCUUCGGGCCUCUUGCCAUCGGAUGUGCCCAGAUGGGAUUAGCUAGUAGGUGGGGUAACGGCUCACCUAGGCGACGAUCCCUAGCUGGUCUGAGAGGAUGACCAGCCACACUGGAACUGAGACACGGUCCAGACUCCUACGGGAGGCAGCAGUGGGGAAUAUUGCACAAUGGGCGCAAGCCUGAUGCAGCCAUGCCGCGUGUAUGAAGAAGGCCUUCGGGUUGUAAAGUACUUUCAGCGGGGAGGAAGGGAGUAAAGUUAAUACCUUUGCUCAUUGACGUUACCCGCAGAAGAAGCACCGGCUAACUCCGUGCCAGCAGCCGCGGUAAUACGGAGGGUGCAAGCGUUAAUCGGAAUUACUGGGCGUAAAGCGCACGCAGGCGGUUUGUUAAGUCAGAUGUGAAAUCCCCGGGCUCAACCUGGGAACUGCAUCUGAUACUGGCAAG